RNAcentral lists this long non-coding RNA (419 nucleotides) under Bos indicus x Bos taurus (hybrid cattle). RNAcentral's name for it is "lncRNA (ENSBIXG00000023055.1)". The record is from RNAcentral. Lineage: Eukaryota; Metazoa; Chordata; Mammalia; Artiodactyla; Bovidae.
GCAGGGCUGGCCUGUCCCAUGUCGGGGCCUGGUGAAGCCCCUCUCCCACGAGGGGCUCUGGCUGGGGCCCACGGGGCCUUGUGGGGCACGGCAGGGAUCAGAGGGCAUCCCGGCAUCUGUGGAAGUUCAUGCAGCUUCCCCCUGGAUCUGACCACGGAUUUUAUGAUGCAUUCUGCCCAGAAACUCAGCAGAAGUGGCCACUCCUUCCCUUUUGAGACUAACAGUGAGUGUUUAAAAGCCCGGGCGGGUUUUCCGGGGCUGCUGGGGGCUGGGACCGUGGGCAGGGCGGGAAGGACACGGUCGCUGGCCCGGAGGCGAGGUCGCCCUCUGCUGGCCUUCCUCCCUGGGGCAGCGGCGUGGGUGGGGCCCUGGGCUGCCGCCCCACCUUCUGGAAGCUGCCUGCAGGGCGGAGCUGAAAG